CUCACAUUAUCAGAGACAGAAAGGAAAGAAAAUGAAAUCUUCUGAGGUACAGGGUAUUCAUUUAUCCAUUUCAUUCUCAUUUUGGAUCAUGAUGAACUAAAAUAACUCCACAUAUUUAAAUCUCCCCUUCACACACACAUAAAGUGUAUUUCUGUUAAGCAAAAUGUGUGUGUAUUUACACACAUAUACACACAGUCUCAACUUAGGAUAAUUCAGUUUCAUUUUUCAACUUUUUGAUAGUACAAAAGUGAUUCACAUUCAAUACAAACUGUACUU
RNAcentral lists this long non-coding RNA (276 nucleotides) under Pan troglodytes (chimpanzee). RNAcentral describes it as "long non-coding RNA NONPTRT007578". The record is from RNAcentral. Lineage: Eukaryota; Metazoa; Chordata; Mammalia; Primates; Hominidae.